GACGUAGGGCGCGAGCGUUGUCCGGAUUUAUUGGGCGUAAAGAGCGUGUAGGCGGCCAGAUAGGUCAGCUGUGAAAACUCGAGGCUCAACCUCGAGAUGUCGGCUGAAACCAUCUGGCUAGAGUCCGGAAGAGGAGAAUGGAAUUCCCGGUGUAGCGGUGAAAUGCGCAGAUAUCCGGAGGAACACCAGUGGCGAAAGCGGCCACCUGGACUGCACCUGACGCUGACACGCGAAAGCUAGGGGAGCGAACGGG
RNAcentral lists this ribosomal RNA (253 nucleotides) under uncultured bacterium. RNAcentral describes it as "partial 16S ribosomal RNA". It matches the Rfam family "Bacterial small subunit ribosomal RNA", at positions 524 to 776 of the family's 1533-position model. The record is from RNAcentral.